RNAcentral lists this ribosomal RNA (243 nucleotides) under uncultured Actinomycetales bacterium. RNAcentral describes it as "partial 16S ribosomal RNA". It matches the Rfam family "Bacterial small subunit ribosomal RNA", at positions 88 to 334 of the family's 1533-position model. Lineage: Bacteria; Bacillati; Actinomycetota; Actinomycetes; Actinomycetales. The record is from RNAcentral.
UACUCGAGUGGCGAACGGGUGAGUAACACGUGGGUGAUCUGCCCUGCACUCUGGGAUAAGCCUGGGAAACUGGGUCUAAUACCAGAUAGGACCAUGCUUUAGUGUGUGUGGUGGAAAGUUUUUUCGGUGUAGGAUGAGCCCGCGGCCUAUCAGCUUGUUGGUGGGGUAAUGGCCUACCAAGGCGGCGACGGGUAGCCGGACUGAGAGGUUGGUCGGCCACAUUGGGACUGAGAUACGGCCCAG